ACUGUUUCAGAUCCUGCUGGAAUAUUCUCAGUUUUGGUGUCGGUUUUAUCUGAAUCACUGGUUGGUGCUGGGUCAUCUUUGCUGACAAGAACAGUUUCAUCUAUUUUAACUGCUGAAGCUGCUGGAUCAUCUUUGCUGAUAGGAACAGGUUCAUCUACUGGAAUUGGUAGGGCAGCAUUUUCUGCUGGUGAUGGAUCAACUUUGCUGACGGUAACAGGUUCAUCUAUUAUAACUGGUGGAGCGGCAUAAACUACAGGUGCUGGAUCGACUUUACUGAUGGGAACAGGUUCAUCUACUCGAAGCGGUGUAGCAGCAUUUAGUACUUGUGCCAGAUCAUUUUUGCUGAUGGGAAUAGGUUCAUCUUUU
This 366-nucleotide long non-coding RNA is filed under the name Medicago truncatula (barrel medic). RNAcentral's name for it is "long non-coding RNA (MTRU_LNC001882)". Lineage: Eukaryota; Viridiplantae; Streptophyta; Magnoliopsida; Fabales; Fabaceae. The record is from RNAcentral.